Long non-coding RNA from Alnus glutinosa, 536 nucleotides. RefSeq lists it as uncharacterized. NCBI's taxonomy places the organism in Eukaryota, Viridiplantae, Streptophyta, Magnoliopsida, Fagales, Betulaceae. The record is from RefSeq and is a predicted model, not a curated record. The transcript has 3 exons.
GAGAAGUGUGCUCGAAAUGCGGCCAAUAGAAACUACUUGAAAACAAAUCACACUAUUGGCACCUGCUCAUUCAUUAACAUUAUUCACAAGAAGAAUGAAAUGGAAGCAAAAGUUCACUCAGACAGCGCGAAUUGCACUAAAGAAGAGGCAUUCACGAAAGUGCUCAGGGUUUCACGCACGGGGCAUGUUCGAGGGAUGGGGUUAGGUGCCGUACCUACCCAGACAAAAUCUUCUUGAGCAACAUCCUCAAGUCAAAUUGACGUUCACAAGGAAUGCAAGAAGCAUCGGGAAGAGCUUGAGACAUCUUAUCAGUCCCUGUGUGAAAAGAUGGCCGCAUCCCAGGAAAGGAUGCGGGAAGAGGUUCGAGCAGAGAUGCGUACAGAGAUGCGUGCAGAGGUGAAGGCAGAGAUGCAGAAACUGCUAUCACAAUUUCACGGGCAUGGAGAGAGAUCUAUCAUAGGUUAAUCAAGCCAAGGCAGUAAGGAGUGAUUGAUGCUCUGUAAUAGUUUUUCUUAGAAACUACUAUCAUUAUUGUU